CGGGGUGUAGCGCAGCUUGGUAGCGCGCAUGCUUCGGGAGCAUGAAGUCGCAGGUUCAAAUCCUGUCACCCCGACCA
RNAcentral lists this transfer RNA (77 nucleotides) under Tissierellia bacterium. RNAcentral describes it as "tRNA-Pro". It matches the Rfam family "tRNA". Rfam says of the family: Transfer RNA (tRNA) molecules are approximately 80 nucleotides in length. Their secondary structure includes four short double-helical elements and three loops (D, anti-codon, and T loops). Further hydrogen bonds mediate the characteristic L-shaped molecular structure. tRNAs have two regions of fundamental functional importance: the anti-codon, which is responsible for specific mRNA codon recognition, and the 3' end, to which the tRNAs corresponding amino acid is attached (by aminoacyl-tRNA synthetases). tRNAs cope with the degeneracy of the genetic code in two manners: having more than one tRNA (with a specific anti-codon) for a particular amino acid; and 'wobble' base-pairing, i.e. permitting non-standard base-pairing at the 3rd anti-codon position. Lineage: Bacteria; Bacillati; Bacillota; Tissierellia. The record is from RNAcentral.